AUACGUAUGUCGCAAGCGUUAUCCGGAUUUAUUGGGCGUAAAGCGCGUCUAGGCGGCUUAGUAAGUCUGAUGUGAAAAUGCGGGGCUCAACCCCGUAUUGCGUUGGAAACUGCUAAACUAGAGUACUGGAGAGGUAGGCGGAACUACAAGUGUAGAGGUGAAAUUCGUAGAUAUUUGUAGGAAUGCCGAUGGGGAAGCCAGCCUACUGGACAGAUACUGACGCUAAAGCGCGAAAGCGUGGGUAGCAAACAGGAUUAGAUACCCUGGUAGUCCACGCCGUAAACGAUGAUUACUAGGUGUUGGGGGUCGAACCUCAGCGCCCAAGCUAACGCGAUAAGUAAUCCGCCUGGGAAGUACGUACGCAAGUAUGAAACUCAAAUGAAUUGGCGGGG
RNAcentral lists this ribosomal RNA (392 nucleotides) under uncultured bacterium. RNAcentral's name for it is "partial 16S ribosomal RNA". It matches the Rfam family "Bacterial small subunit ribosomal RNA", at positions 523 to 918 of the family's 1533-position model. The record is from RNAcentral.